UCGAUUGUAGAAUGGCGGGUGAGAUGAUGAGAAGUUAUUUUCGUCUCAUCAAACUUCAAAGAAAAAUGGAAUUAAAAUGAGCAAUUGAUUUGUGUAAUUUUGUAACAAAAGUGAGAUGGACGUACAAUUAAUUCCAGAACGUGGUCGAUGCUGUUGCGAUCGUUGCCGAAAUACGUCUCGUACACCACAUGUUUAGGAAGACUCCAUGACAUGCUCCAUGAAGAAGACGUACAGCGUUUAUAGACAGUUCGAGUGAAGGGGAAAUUCACAUGGUCGUUCAGUUUCGUGUUCAUUAUCAUUCGAUAUUUUCCUGGGUUCUUAAACAGUACGUGGCUGAUGGACAUUGAAGUAAACCUUAUCUAUGCCGCAAGCCUCCACAGUAAAGUUGGUUGGUGUAUGAGCAUAAGUCAGCAUUUUUUUCUUGCAUAUUAAGAAAGCUACAACGGCGUUUCAUUCUUGCCUUAGCAAGUAAGCACGUGGUCGAUGCUUUACAGCCACACGGAAAUAUUCCUUGUUUACUUUUUUUUUAAGGAAGAACCUCUAUUGAAGGUUGUUCCAUUGUUGGCUGUUGUUUGAGAUGUCAUUGCAGUUGCAGUUCUAACCACCAGCCUACUUGUGCUUACCUGUAUUAAAAGCUGUUUAACCAAGACACUAUUUCUUCGUUAUGUUCUUCCAUUUCACAUUUCUGUCAUUAAUAGUUACCAAAUAUAAAAGUUUUCUAUGCUAUGAUAAUAACUCCAUAGUUGCAUUC
This 751-nucleotide long non-coding RNA is filed under the name Daphnia pulicaria. RNAcentral describes it as "uncharacterized LOC124314914, transcript variant X1". The record is from RNAcentral. Lineage: Eukaryota; Metazoa; Arthropoda; Branchiopoda; Diplostraca; Daphniidae.